AUACAGCAACUGCCGAAGACAGCAGGCGCUGUAAAGCGUAAGGGUAUUUCCCGCCUGCCGAGGAAAGUUAGAUUUAUUACGCAAGUAUGAAUUUACAAACCUCUGUGUCUUUAUGGCAUGGAGAUUUUUUAU
Molecule: small RNA, 132 nt
Filed under: uncultured Mediterraneibacter sp.
Lineage: Bacteria; Bacillati; Bacillota; Clostridia; Lachnospirales; Lachnospiraceae
Description: Ribosomal protein L10 leader
Rfam family: Ribosomal protein L10 leader
About the family: This family is a putative r-protein leader autoregulatory structure found in B. subtilis and other low-GC Gram-positive bacteria. It is located in the 5' untranslated regions of mRNAs encoding ribosomal proteins L10 and L12 (rplJ-rplL).
Source: RNAcentral